RNAcentral lists this ribosomal RNA (660 nucleotides) under Wollemia nobilis. Its description in RNAcentral is "eukaryotic LSU rRNA". It matches the Rfam family "Eukaryotic large subunit ribosomal RNA", at positions 24 to 680 of the family's 3401-position model. Lineage: Eukaryota; Viridiplantae; Streptophyta; Pinopsida; Araucariales; Araucariaceae. The record is from RNAcentral.
CCCGCUGAAUUUAAGCAUAUCACUAAGCGGAGGAAAAGAAACUUACAAGGAUUCCCCUAGUAACGGCGAGCGAACCGGGAACAGCCCAGCAUGAAAAUCGAGCGGCAGUGCCGUUCGAAUUGUAGUCUGUAGAAGCGUCCUCAGCGGCGGACCGGGCCCAAGUCCCUUGGAAGGGGGCGCCGGAGAGGGUGAGAGCCCCGUCGGGCCCGGACCCUGUCGCACCACGAGGCGCUGUCGGCGAGUCGGGUUGUUUGGGAAUGCAACCCUAAUCGGGUGGUAAAUUCCGUCCAAGGCUAAAUACGGGCGAGAGACCGAUAGCGAACAAGUACCGCGAGGGAAAGAUGAAAAGGACUUUGGAAAGAGAGUUAAAGAGUGCUUGAAAUUGCCGGGAGGGAAGCGGAUGGAGGCCGGCGAUGCGCCCCAGUCGGAUGCGGAACGGUGCGAGCCGGACCGCCGCUCGGCUUGGGGUGCGUGCCAGCGCAGUCCGUCGGGGCGGCAAAAGCGCGGGCGGAAGGCCGCCCGAUGCCCGGAGUCGUCCCGGCGGUCGUGGUACGAAGCGUGCGCCCUCGCGGCGGGCCCUCGGGCACCUGCGCGCUCGUGGCGCUGGCCGGCGGGCUUUCCAUCCGACCCGUCUUGAAACACGGACCAAGGAGUCUAACA